CGCAGGGUGUAGCUUUAUACGACCGCAGAGGUUGAACCCUGAACGGUUGGGGCAAGUAUGGACACAACAUUCAAGCUGGAUUCAGCUCUAAAUUUGGAUUGUGAUUAAAUAGUUGACACAGCAUAGGUUUCUGACACAGAAUGAAUGUGUUCUAAUGAACUUAAAAUUUUUGUUUUCUCUUAGAGCAAUUCACUAUGCUGUUGAAUAUUAAUCCUCUCAAAAAAAUGUUUGAAGAAAUUUUCUUUUUUAUUUAUGAAAUUUCAAAUGAGAACCAGAUGCUCCGCAGGGCGUAGCUUUAUACGACCGCAGAGGUUGAACCCUGAACGGUUGGGGCAAGUAUGGACACAACAUUCAAGCUGGAUUCAGCUCUAAAUUUGGAUUGUGAUUAAAUAGUUGACACAGCAUAGGUUUCUGACACAGAAUGAAUGUGUUCUAAUGAACUUAAAAUUUUUGUUUUCUCUUAGAGCAAUUCACUAUGCUGUUGAAUAUUAAU
This 493-nucleotide long non-coding RNA is filed under the name Mytilus galloprovincialis (Mediterranean mussel). Lineage: Eukaryota; Metazoa; Mollusca; Bivalvia; Mytilida; Mytilidae. The record is from RNAcentral.